This 542-nucleotide ribosomal RNA is filed under the name uncultured bacterium. RNAcentral's name for it is "bacterial SSU rRNA". The record is from RNAcentral.
CAUGAUACGCCAAGCUAUUUAGGUGACACUAUAGAAUACUCAAGCUAUGCAUCCAACGCGUUGGGAGCUCUCCCAUAUGGUCGACCUGCAGGCGGCCGCGAAUUCACUAGUGAUUAGAGUUUGAUCAUGGCUCAGAGUGAACGCUGGCGGCGUGGAUUAGGCAUGCAAGUCGAGCGAUGCCGAUGUUUUUUAUCGGCAGAGCGGCAGACGGGUGAGGAACACGUGGGUAAUCUGCCCUUAAGACAGGAAUAGCUUCGUGAAAACGGAGGUAAUUCCUGAUGGUAUUAAAAUGGCGCAUGUCAUUUUAAUUAAAUGAUGGGGACCGCAAGGCCUAUCGCUUAGGGAUGAGCCCGCGUCUUAUCAGCUAGUUGGUAGGGUAAUGGCCUACCAAGGCUUUUGACGAGUAGCUGGUCUGAGAGGAUGGUCAGCCACACUGGGACUGAGACACUGCCCAGACUCCUACGGGAGGCUGCAGUCGAGAAUCUUUAGCAAUGGACGAAAGUCUGACUAUGCGACSCCGCGUGAGGGAUGAAGGUCUUCGG